This 655-nucleotide ribosomal RNA is filed under the name Aspergillus tamarii. RNAcentral describes it as "partial 18S ribosomal RNA". The record is from RNAcentral. Lineage: Eukaryota; Fungi; Ascomycota; Eurotiomycetes; Eurotiales; Aspergillaceae.
AACCGUUGAGUUAAAGCUCGUAAUUCACCUUGGGUCUGGUUGGCCCGGUCCGCCUACCUUUAGUACUGGUCCGGCUGGACCUUUCCUUCUGGGUGAACCUCAUGGCCCUCCACUGGCUUGUGCGGGGCAACCAGGAACUUUAUACUGUGAAAAACAAAUUGAAAAGUUGUUCAAUAGCGACGCCCUUUUGCAUCGUUUURACCAUUUUACCUAUCGAUCAUUUAAGGUAGUAACAGCGCACGAUCGGCGUGUUCCUUAUAUUUCGCCUCGCGGUCUCCCCAGGAUACCNGCCAAGGCGUAUGCUUUUUACAUCAGGGUUCCUUUUCUCCCGCGGGGAGCCGUCCGAGUUACUACUACCCGUCGUACAAGUUUCGCGCGCAAAAAUAUCCCUAAGCGUAUAUGAUGACUACCAAUUAUAGCACGAUCUUAGCCUUGGCCCUAUAAAGUAUAUGUCCCGACUCCUAAAACGGCUUUGGUGUUCUAGCCUAUUUUCAAAGCUAAGACGGGCUCAGACCUGGAUAAAAACGCUACACUAUCGGAUAUUUCAUCCCAAAUAAACAUGUUUACCAGAUACAAAACCCUGGUAAGGACCUUAACCUCCUGUUUUAUUUUCAAAUUUUAUAGACCCUUAUCGGCAUUCCCUUUCCCCUUAAGG